AUGAGGAUAGCGAGAGACACCUUUUAAGGUGGCCGAAGGAGCAAUAUGAAGUGGGUCACGGCUUCAUAAAAUCUCUCAGGCAAAUUAAUCGCUAUUUGAUG
Molecule: non-coding RNA, 101 nt
Filed under: Thermoanaerobacterium saccharolyticum
Lineage: Bacteria; Bacillati; Bacillota; Clostridia; Thermoanaerobacterales; Thermoanaerobacteraceae
Description: Glycine sequence
Rfam family: Glycine riboswitch aptamer
About the family: This family represents the bacterial glycine riboswitch.
Source: RNAcentral